Molecule: long non-coding RNA, 359 nt
Filed under: dengue virus type 4
Lineage: Riboviria; Orthornavirae; Kitrinoviricota; Flasuviricetes; Amarillovirales; Flaviviridae
Description: Dengue virus 4 sfRNA2
Rfam family: Flavivirus DB element (bases 177-249)
Source: RNAcentral
UUGAAGUCAGGCCACCUGUGCCACGGCUUGAGCAAACCGUGCUGCCUGUAGCUCCGCCAAUAACGGGAGGCGUAAUAAUCCCGGGGAGGCCAUGCGCCACGGAAGCUGUACGCGUGGCAUAUUGGACUAGCGGUUAGAGGAGACCCCUCCCAUCACCAACUAAACGCAGCAAAAAAGGGGGCCCGAAGCCAGGAGGAAGCUGUACUCCUGGUGGAAGGACUAGAGGUUAGAGGAGACCCCCCCAACACAAAAACAGCAUAUUGACGCUGGGAAAGACCAGAGAUCCUGCUGUCUCUGCAACAUCAAUCCAGGCACAGAGCGCCGCGAGAUGGAUUGGUGUUGUUGAUCCAACAGGUUCU